RNAcentral lists this ribosomal RNA (1522 nucleotides) under metagenome. RNAcentral's name for it is "bacterial SSU rRNA". It matches the Rfam family "Bacterial small subunit ribosomal RNA". The record is from RNAcentral.
AGAGUUUGAUCAUGGCUCAGAUUGAACGCUGGCGGCAGGCCUAACACAUGCAAGUCGAACGGUAACAGGAAACAGCUUGCUGUUUCGCUGACGAGUGGCGGACGGGUGAGUAAUGUCUGGGAAACUGCCUGAUGGAGGGGGAUAACUACUGGAAACGGUAGCUAAUACCGCAUAACGUCGCAAGACCAAAGAGGGGGACCUUCGGGCCUCUUGCCAUCAGAUGUGCCCAGAUGGGAUUAGCUAGUAGGUGGGGUAACGGCUCACCUAGGCGACGAUCCCUAGCUGGUCUGAGAGGAUGACCAGCCACACUGGAACUGAGACACGGUCCAGACUCCUACGGGAGGCAGCAGUGGGGAAUAUUGCACAAUGGGCGCAAGCCUGAUGCAGCCAUGCCGCGUGUAUGAAGAAGGCCUUCGGGUUGUAAAGUACUUUCAGCGGGGAGGAAGGGAGUAAAGUUAAUACCUUUGCUCAUUGACGUUACCCGCAGAAGAAGCACCGGCUAACUCCGUGCCAGCAGCCGCGGUAAUACGGAGGGUGCAAGCGUUAAUCGGAAUUACUGGGCGUAAAGCGCACGCAGGCGGUUUGUUAAGUCAGAUGUGAAAUCCCCGGGCUCAACCUGGGAACUGCAUCUGAUACUGGCAAGCUUGAGUCUCGUAGAGGGGGGUAGAAUUCCAGGUGUAGCGGUGAAAUGCGUAGAGAUCUGGAGGAAUACCGGUGGCGAAGGCGGCCCCCUGGACGAAGACUGACGCUCAGGUGCGAAAGCGUGGGGAGCAAACAGGAUUAGAUACCCUGGUAGUCCACGCCGUAAACGAUGUCGACUUGGAGGUUGUGCCCUUGAGGCGUGGCUUCCGGAGCUAACGCGUUAAGUCGACCGCCUGGGGAGUACGGCCGCAAGGUUAAAACUCAAAUGAAUUGACGGGGGCCCGCACAAGCGGUGGAACAUGUGGUUUAAUUCGAUGCAACGCGAAGAACCUUACCUGGUCUUGACAUCCACGGAAGUUUUCAGAGAUGAGAAUGUGCCUUCGGGAACCGUGAGACAGGUGCUGCAUGGCUGUCGUCAGCUCGUGUUGUGAAAUGUUGGGUUAAGUCCCGCAACGAGCGCAACCCUUAUCCUUUGUUGCCAGCGGUCCGGCCGGGAACUCAAAGGAGACUGCCAGUGAUAAACUGGAGGAAGGUGGGGAUGACGUCAAGUCAUCAUGGCCCUUACGACCAGGGCUACACACGUGCUACAAUGGCGCAUACAAAGAGAAGCGACCUCGCGAGAGCAAGCGGACCUCAUAAAGUGCGUCGUAGUCCGGAUUGGAGUCUGCAACUCGACUCCAUGAAGUCGGAAUCGCUAGUAAUCGUGGAUCAGAAUGCCACGGUGAAUACGUUCCCGGGCCUUGUACACACCGCCCGUCACACCAUGGGAGUGGGUUGCAAAAGAAGUAGGUAGCUUAACCUUCGGGAGGGCGCUUACCACUUUGUGAUUCAUGACUGGGGUGAAGUCGUAACAAGGUAACCGUAGGGGAACCUGCGGUUG